This 393-nucleotide ribosomal RNA is filed under the name uncultured bacterium. RNAcentral describes it as "partial 16S ribosomal RNA". It matches the Rfam family "Bacterial small subunit ribosomal RNA", at positions 523 to 918 of the family's 1533-position model. The record is from RNAcentral.
AUACGGAGGACGCGAGCGUUAUCCGGAUUCAUUGGGUUUAAAGGGUGCGCAGGCGGCCGUGCAAGUCAGCGGUGAAAGCCCGGGGCUCAACCCCGGAAGUGCCGUUGAUACUGCAUGGCUGGAAUGCGGUCGAGGCGGGCGGAACGUGGCGUGUAGGGGUGGAAAGCGUAGAUAUGCCACAGAAAGCCGAUAGCGGAGGCAGCUCGCCAGGCCUACAUUGACGCUCGGGCACGAAAGCGUGGGGAUCGAACAGGAUUAGAUCCCCUGGUAGUCCACGCCGUAAACGAUGGGCGCUCGUCGUCGGCGGCAGACAGUCGGCGGCCAAGCGAAAGCGAUAAGCGCCCCACCUGGGGAGUACGGUCGCAAGGCUGAAACUCAAAUGAAUUGACGGGG